Molecule: ribosomal RNA, 253 nt
Filed under: uncultured bacterium
Lineage: Bacteria
Description: partial 16S ribosomal RNA
Rfam family: Bacterial small subunit ribosomal RNA
Source: RNAcentral
UACGUAGGGUGCGAGCGUUGUCCGGAAUUAUUGGGCGUAAAGAGCUCGUAGGCGGCCUGUCGCGUCGGAUGUGAAAGCCCGGGGCUUAACCCCGGGUCUGCAUUCGAUACGGGCAGGCUAGAGUUCGGUAGGGGAGAUCGGAAUUCCUGGUGUAGCGGUGAAAUGCGCAGAUAUCAAGUGGAACACCAGUGGCGAAGGCGAGUCUCUGGACAUUUCCUGACGCUGAGGCACGAAAGCCAGGGGAGCAAACGGG